RNAcentral lists this ribosomal RNA (440 nucleotides) under uncultured bacterium. RNAcentral describes it as "partial 16S ribosomal RNA". It matches the Rfam family "Bacterial small subunit ribosomal RNA", at positions 338 to 795 of the family's 1533-position model. The record is from RNAcentral.
CCUACGGGAGGCAGCAGUGGGGAAUAUUGCACAAUGGGGGAAACCCUGAUGCAGCGACGCCGCGUGAGUGAAGAAGUACUUCGUUAUGUAAAGCUCUAUCAGCAGGGGAGCAAAUGACGGUACCUGAGUAAGAAGCCCCGGCUAACUAAGUGCCAGCAGCCGCGGUAAUACGUAGGGGGCAAGCGUUAUCCGGAUUUACUGGGUGUAAAGGGGGCGUAGACGGCAGUGCAGGUCUGGAGUGAAAGGCGGGGGCUCAACCCCCGGACUGCUCUGGAAACUGUACGGCUGGAGUGCAGGAGAGGUAAGUGGAAUUCCUAGUGUAGCGGUGAAAUGCGUAGAUAUUAGGAGGAACACCAGUGGCGAAGGCGGCUUACGGGACUGUAACUGACGUUGAGGCACGAAAGCGUGGGGAGCAAACAGGAUUAGAUACCCCUGUAGUC